This 501-nucleotide ribosomal RNA is filed under the name uncultured bacterium. Its description in RNAcentral is "partial 16S ribosomal RNA". It matches the Rfam family "Bacterial small subunit ribosomal RNA", at positions 30 to 523 of the family's 1533-position model. The record is from RNAcentral.
AUUGAACGCUGGCGGCAGGCUUAACACAUGCAAGUCGAGCGGGGUGAUGGUGCUUGCACUAUCACUUAGCGGCGGACGGGAGUAAUGCUUAGGAAUCUGCCUAUUAGUGGGGGACAACAUCUCGAAAGGGAUGCUAAUACCGCAUACGUCCUACGGGAGAAAGCAGGGGAUCACUUGUGACCUCGCGCUAAUAGAUGAGCCUAAGUCGGAUUAGCUAGUUGGUGGGGUAAAGGCCUACCAAGGCGACGAUCUGUAGCGGGUCUGAGAGGAUGAUCCGCCACACUGGGACUGAGACACGGCCCAGACUCCUACGGGAGGCAGCAGUGGGGAAUAUUGGACAAUGGGGGGAACCCUGAUCCAGCCAUGCCGCGUGUGUGGAGAAGGCCUUAUGGUUGUAAAGCACUUUAAGCGAGGAGGAGGCUCUUUUGGUUAAUACCCAAGAUGAGUGGACGUUACUCGCAGAAUAAGCACCGGCUAACUCUGUGCCAGCAGCCGCGGUAA